Molecule: ribosomal RNA, 241 nt
Filed under: uncultured bacterium
Lineage: Bacteria
Description: partial 16S ribosomal RNA
Rfam family: Bacterial small subunit ribosomal RNA
Source: RNAcentral
GUUCACCUACGGGAGGCAGCAGUGGGGAAUAUUGGACAAUGGGGGGAACCCUGAUCCAGCGACGCCGCGUGAGUGAAGAAGUAUUUCGGUAUGUAAAGCUCUAUCAGCAGGGAAGAAAAUGACGGUACCUGACUAAGAAGCCCCGGCUAACUACGUGCCAGCAGCCGCGGUAAUACGUAGGGGGCAAGCGUUAUCCGGAUUUACUGGGUGGAAAGGGAGCGUAGACGGUGCAGCAAGGCUG